GGACCAUGGCUUAGUGGAAGAGCCGCUGCUUUGCAUGCAGAAAGUUCCAGGUUCCAUUCCUGGCAUCUCUA
RNAcentral lists this transfer RNA (71 nucleotides) under Sphaerodactylus townsendi. RNAcentral describes it as "tRNA-Ala". The stretch from base 7 to 63 matches the Rfam family "tRNA", at positions 8 to 63 of the family's 71-position model. Rfam says of the family: Transfer RNA (tRNA) molecules are approximately 80 nucleotides in length. Their secondary structure includes four short double-helical elements and three loops (D, anti-codon, and T loops). Lineage: Eukaryota; Metazoa; Chordata; Lepidosauria; Squamata; Sphaerodactylidae. The record is from RNAcentral.